UGGGGAAUCUUGCGCAAUGGACGAAAGUCUGACGCAGCGACGCCGCGUGGGCGAUGAAGGCCUUCGGGUUGUAAAGCCCUGUGGGGAGGGAAGAAUAAGGGGUGGUGAACAACCAUUCUGAUGACGGUACCUCCUUAGCAAGCACCGGCUAACUCUGUGCCAGCAGCCGCGGUAAGACAGAGGGUGCAAACGUUGUUCGGAAUUACUGGGCGUAAAGCGCGUGUAGGCGGCUAGGCAAGUCGGGUGUGAAAGCCCUUGGCUCAACUGAGGAAGUGCAUUCGAAACUGCCGAGCUUGAGUCCCGGAGAGGAUGGUGGAAUUCUCGGUGUAGAGGUGAAAUUCGUAGAUAUCGAGAGGAACACCGGUGGCGAAGGCGGCCAUCUGGACGGUGACUGACGCUG
Molecule: ribosomal RNA, 400 nt
Filed under: uncultured bacterium
Lineage: Bacteria
Description: bacterial SSU rRNA
Rfam family: Bacterial small subunit ribosomal RNA
Source: RNAcentral